AUGCUCUCUCCAGCAGCACAUAUACUAAAAUUGGGAUGAUACAGAGAAGAUAAGCAUGGCCCCUGUGCAAGGAGGGUGUGCAAAUUUGUUCAUUAAGGAGUGAUUGU
Non-coding RNA from Otolemur garnettii (small-eared galago), 107 nucleotides. The record is from Rfam. NCBI's taxonomy places the organism in Eukaryota, Metazoa, Chordata, Mammalia, Primates, Galagidae.